RNAcentral lists this unclassified non-coding RNA (416 nucleotides) under soil metagenome. RNAcentral's name for it is "partial contains 5.8S ribosomal RNA, internal transcribed spacer 2, and large subunit ribosomal RNA". The stretch from base 1 to 120 matches the Rfam family "5.8S ribosomal RNA", at positions 35 to 154 of the family's 154-position model. The record is from RNAcentral.
GAUGAAGAACGUAGCGAAAUGCGAUAAGUAAUGUGAAUUGCAGAAUUCAGUGAAUCAUCGAAUCUUUGAACGCACCUUGCGCUCUUUGGUAUUCCGAAGAGCAUGCCUGUUUGAGUGUCAUGAAACUCUCAACUCCCAACUUUCUUAAUAGUCGGUUGGGAGCUUGGACUUGAGCGUUGCUGGUCUUUAUUGACCGGCUCGCUUGAAAUGAAUUAGCAGAUCCUUUUUGUAAUCGUUUCCACUCGACGUGAUAAGUAUUUCGCCGAGGACAUCUUAACGGAUGGCCGAGAUAAAGAAAGUCUUUAGAUCCGCUUCUAAUUCUUAGAUAGAGCUUGCUCUACUAAACCCCUUUUAUGAUCUGGCCUCAAAUCAGGUAGGACUACCCGCUGAACUUAAGCAUAUCAAUAAGCGGAGGA